RNAcentral lists this ribosomal RNA (501 nucleotides) under uncultured bacterium. Its description in RNAcentral is "partial 16S ribosomal RNA". It matches the Rfam family "Bacterial small subunit ribosomal RNA", at positions 30 to 523 of the family's 1533-position model. The record is from RNAcentral.
AUUGAACGCUGGCGGCAGGCUUAACACAUGCAAGUCGAGCGGAGCGAGGGUGCUUGCACCUUAGCUUAGCGGCGGACGGGUGAGUAAUGCUUAGGAAUCUGCCUAUUAGUGGGGGACAACAUUCCGAAAGGAAUGCUAAUACCGCAUACGCCCUACGGGGGAAAGCAGGGGAUCUUCGGACCUUGCGCUAAUAGAUGAGCCUAAGUCGGAUUAGCGAGUUGGUGGGGUAAAGGCCUACCAAGGCGACGAUCUGUAGCGGGUCUGAGAGGAUGAUCCGCCACACUGGGACUGAGACACGGCCCAGACUCCUACGGGAGGCAGCAGUGGGGAAUAUUGGACAAUGGGCGCAAGCCUGAUCCAGCCAUGCCGCGUGUGUGAAGAAGGCCUUUUGGUUGUAAAGCACUUUAAGCGAGGAGGAGGCUCCUUUAGUUAAUACCUAAAGUGAGUGGACGUUACUCGCAGAAUAAGCACCGGCUAACUACGUGCCAGCCGCCGCCGUAA